AGCGUAUGUAAAAUUUCUGCAGAUUAGGAGGGUUCCUCUCCAGGAACGGGAGUGCUCAAAUAAUGCUCCUGAUAUUAUUCCCCAGAUAAGAUCUAUCGCAAAAAAGGACCGUGAUGUUAUGUAGAAAGGACAAAAAUCCUUUGUCUCUUUUGUCCGUGCAUAUAAGGAGCAUAAUUGCUCCUUCAUUUUCAGAGUCGUAUGUUGCCACAAAGUUGGGCGAGGAACUAUCACGACUGAUCUUUCUCUUGUGGCUGUUAGUCCGGUCGUGUUUAAUUUUCCUGAACUUAGCCAUGUAAAUUUUUAUUUCUUAGCCAUGAAUUCUAUAUAUGUAACCCACAUCAAGUAAUUAGUCGUGUUUCUUAUUAUGUAUGGAGUACUAUAUUCAUACUUUUAACUAUUUCUAUGGUAAUUAGGCUUGUGAUUUGUA
Long non-coding RNA from Spinacia oleracea (spinach), 427 nucleotides. RefSeq lists it as uncharacterized. The record is from RefSeq and is a predicted model, not a curated record. Lineage: Eukaryota; Viridiplantae; Streptophyta; Magnoliopsida; Caryophyllales; Amaranthaceae. The transcript is spliced from 3 exons.